GGACCGUAUACAAGUCUCCUGGGAUGGAGCAUCAUAGAGGGUGAGAAUCCCGUCUUUGAUACGGACUACCAGUGCAUUGUGGUAUGCUCUCAACGAGUCGAGUUGUUUGGGAAUGCAGCUCAAAAUGGGUGGUAAAUUCCAUCUAAAGCUAAAUAUUGGCGAGAGACCGAUAGCGAACAAGUACCGUGAGGGAAAGAUGAAAAGAACUUUGGAAAGAGAGUUAAACAGUACGUGAAAUUGCUGAAAGGGAAACGCUUGAAGUCAGUCACGUCUGCUGGGAAUCAGCCUCGCUUCUGCGUGGUGUACUUUCUGGUAUGACGGGUCAGCAUCAGUUUUGACCACUGGAAAAAGGUGUGGGGAAUGUGACAGCUCCGGCUGUGUUAUAGCCUCAUAUUGUAUACAGUGGUUGGGACUGAGGAACGCAGCACGCCGAAAGGCCGGGUCUUUGACCACGUUCGUGCUUAGGAUGCUGGCAUAAUGGCUUUAAGCGACCCGUCUUGAAACACGGACCAAGGAGUCUAACAUGCCUGCGAGUGUUUGGGUGGAAAACUCGAGCGCGUAAUGAAAGUGAAAGUUGAGAUCCCUGUCGUGGGGAGCAUCGACGCCCGGACCAGAACUUUUGGGACGGAUCCGCGGUAGAGCAUGUAUGUUGGGACCCGAAAGAUGGUGAACUAUGCCUGAAUAGGGUGAAGCCAGAGGAAACUCUGGUGGAGGCUCGUAGCGGUUCUGACGUGCAAAUCGAUCGU
Molecule: ribosomal RNA, 746 nt
Filed under: Micropsalliota bifida
Lineage: Eukaryota; Fungi; Basidiomycota; Agaricomycetes; Agaricales; Agaricaceae
Description: eukaryotic LSU rRNA
Rfam family: Eukaryotic large subunit ribosomal RNA
Source: RNAcentral